Molecule: long non-coding RNA, 697 nt
Filed under: Homo sapiens (human)
Lineage: Eukaryota; Metazoa; Chordata; Mammalia; Primates; Hominidae
Description: long independently transcribed non-coding RNA 1202 (LINC01202)
Source: RNAcentral
UGAAAGAGGAUGGCAAUCUCGCUGAAGCUGUUUCUUUUUCUUCACAACAUAUAGGAAAGUGUUGCCCCUUUUUGGAGAAAGUAACAACCUCCACCAACACUACUUGAAUCAGUACUGAACGAAUGUCAGGUCCUUGGGAAAUUCUCCAAUCCUGUCUCCUGUCCUGGCCGGGUGUGCUCCUGGUGCACCAUUCGACUAAGUCAAUUUGAACUAUUUGGGAGACCUUUGUACCUACGUUUCCUUCUGCUUGGAAGAUCCUUUCUGUUUUGUCAGCUCUUACUUCCAUGUUGUGGAAAACUGAUCUGACCUCCUAGUCCUGAAUCAGGGGCCAUAAAGAAAAUUGAUGAGGACAACUGGCCUCCCAGUAUGUGGAUUCAGUUUCCAUAUGUCAAUUUACCAACUCCCACUGGUAGUCUGAAGAGAUAUGGCUACUGGAGAACAGAAAAUCACCAGUAUUAAUAAAAGCAAUUUUAAGUGUUUACCUUUUAGUAUUUGAAUAGCUUUGUUAAAGAGACGUACUCAAGAAUACUAUGAAGAGACUCUUAUUGUACUCCUUACCUGGAGAUAAUUGUGAUGCCAGAAAUUCAAAUUUAUAUUCAACAAUAUGGUUUUUCAACCAUCAAUAUUAUAAACAUCUAGGCAGUGUCUAUUGUUUGCGCAUUUGCCAUCCUCUAAAAUGAGAUUAUUCUAAGCAUAA